RNAcentral lists this long non-coding RNA (912 nucleotides) under Sus scrofa (pig). Its description in RNAcentral is "lncRNA (ENSSSCG00025013429.1, ENSSSCG00035029903.1)". The record is from RNAcentral. Lineage: Eukaryota; Metazoa; Chordata; Mammalia; Artiodactyla; Suidae.
AAUCUGUUGCAGAGUUUGAGAAAUACAGAAAAACAGGAAACUCUCCAGGAAGAAAAUAUCAAAAUAAGAUUUCUUGUGGUGUGAGGAUUUGGGAAUGGGUCCUAGCGGAGGAAAGUUACCAUCAAAGAUGAGUGUGGAAGAGGGGCGGGGGGCUACGGGGAAGGCACCCAGUACCAGCCUAGGCUCCACCCAGAGCUGAACCUCAACAGAGGAUGGAGGAAAAGUCUGGUAAGACACGUUCCUGCCACAUCACCUGGAGUCAAGGCCCUGGUGGGGCAGAAGCCUGACUCCCCAGUCCAGGGACAGUGACUCGGGCUUGGGAGAACUGGGUCUCCUGCCUCUCUCGCUUGAGAGACCAGACGGCCAGUCUUCUCUCCCUGCCACACCUGAGACGCUCAGCUGGGAGCCCUGCAUUUCUCUGUCGAGGAAAACAGUGAUUCAAACAAGGGCAAAGACUUUGCUCAGCCAGUGGAAAACUUGACAUUGUCUGGUACUUGGAAAAGACCCUCCUUCUGACUCCUCUUGGUCUCGCAUAAAAGGAGGAGAUUCCUCGGAAGGUCGAGGUGCUUCUGUAAUUGGGACUGGUGCCUGGUACCUUCUGGAAAUAGCUUUGCUUCCUGAAGGAUGGGUGUGGGAAAAGAUUAUAGAAAGAUUAGCUGCCUGUGGGCGGGGGAUGCCUUGCGGGAGGGUGUGACUUAGGAUAAAUUAAAAGCAAUUGCAUGUCCAGUGGGUAAAGUGGAUAAGGCCAGAUUCUGAAUCCCUAAGACACACUUAACAUUUUCUUAUCAAAAUUUAUUCUGAGAAUCUUCACUGUACUAAAGUUAUUUCAAGUCAGCUUGUUGGUGCCCUCUUCUAGGAAGCCUUCCCUUAGCCCCCGCCCCUUAUAGUUUUUUAUUUCCUCCCCAUCUUUAU